This 2242-nucleotide long non-coding RNA is filed under the name Bos indicus x Bos taurus (hybrid cattle). RNAcentral describes it as "lncRNA (ENSBIXG00005029081.1)". The record is from RNAcentral. Lineage: Eukaryota; Metazoa; Chordata; Mammalia; Artiodactyla; Bovidae.
UUGGGUGCUUCCCUGAUGAAUAUGAAGUAGCUGGAGCUUCUCCUAAGCGUCAGUGACAGUGGCCUCCUCAAAUAGAGCCUUUCUUAGUUCAUCCAUCCAUCUUUCCAUCCGUUCAGCAAACAUUUGCUGAGCCCCUGCUGUGGGCUACACCGCAAGGAAGAAGUUAACGGUGCAGCCUGAUGCCUGCUUUCAGGACGUGUACGGUCUAGUAGACAGAAGAAGACACUGUAAAGGACUGGGAGUGAAAUGUCAGAUUCCCAGGGUUAUUAUGCUGAAGAUCCGAUUUCCCUUCAAGAAAUUCUCUCUGGCUCCUGCGAAUGGAACAGCGGACGGAGGAGAGGCAUGGCUGCCCAUCAGCUGCUACCUCCGCUGGCACUGAGUCGCCGCCUUUGUGAAUUUCCUGCAAGCAGAGCGCUGCCCUGAAGCUCCUCUCUUGUUUCGCUCUUUCCUGGUGGCUGACCUGCCUUCAGUCCUCUAGAGUGGAAGCUCCAUGAAGCUUUCUCUAGUUUGCUCGCUGCUGAGACUCUGGCACCAACAGAAUCCCUGGAACCAUGAGACGCACCAUCCUAGUUGUUGGGCCAGUGAGCGACUUUUACCUGAAACCUGAGUGAGGCAGAAUGCUAGAAGCACAGAGAGAGAGAGGCUCCUGUGGCUGUUUGUCGCUCAAAGAGGCUCCAGUCUGCUCCCCAGGAAUCCUUUAAGGAUUUGACCUUCAUCAAAGCUGCUGCAGGUCCAUCAGCUUCGUUCCCCUGGAACUAAAGAGCCUUGUAAGAACUUCAUGAGGACCAUUCAUCCAGGGAGUCCUCAACCUCAGUUCUCACAGACAGAAGAUGGAGAUCUGAGAGGCUUACAGGAGAAAAAGUUAAGGAGCCUGUCAAGAAGAGGAUGGACAGACCAAAGAAAACAGCCCACGGCAGCAGACACCUGAGAUACAGCCUGGAAAUCUCUGGGAGGACAGGGCUCGGUGCUGAGAUGAAGAUGCUCAAGACACGUCCACGGGAUGAGCAAACGUGCUCGCUUCCGAGGUCCUCUCCACCCGCCGGCGUGUCCCAGCCUACAAACGACUGUUCUCGCACGCUGGGGUCUCUCUCCAUCCCCCUCUCUCUGUCUGUCUCCCACUCUCUCCAUCUCUGCCUUUGUCUUUUUCUGUCUGUCUCUGUCUGUCUCUCUGUUUCUCUCGGAAUGGUGCUAACAAGGAGGGAGAGGUGGAGGAUUGAAACCUGCUCCGUCAAAAUUAUUUGAUCUGUUUCCAUCUUUCCGUCGGGCCCCAGUGAACACCCCAUGAGCUCUCUGCUGCCAUGUUAAUAUCCCGGGAGAUGCUAUCUGGUGGCCCACAUCUCAUGCCAGAGGCAACACCCGCUCCCAAAGAAUCCCAGCCCGCGUCCCACCCUUCUGAGAGAGGCAGAGCCCAUCUCCCUUGACGCCUGUGUGGCUGAGGCGGUUUUUUCUUGAACUCUGCACCUUGGGAACAUUUUUAUGUGCCUCUUGCCAAACCUGAAACUUGAUGUUGGGAUUGUUGGUGAUCCUCCAAGAGGCCGGGCCUCCAGUUCAGGCACCAGAACACACCUGGCCACUCCCAGAAGCUCUUUUCCCAAGUGCCAGGAAGCUGCACCUCGUCUUCGGGGUAGGAGCAGCUUGGGAGAAUGGCCCAGAAUCUUCCAGAAUCACUUUCAUUCUGUUAUCUUGAAACAAACACAUUAACCUGCAGAUGUGGCUACUGGGUGUAGCCUCUACUGAGACUGAAUCAAUUGGCCCCCAGUGCAAACACAUCGUUAAAUGAAUAUGCACGUAACAUAUUCACUUAUAAUUGAUGUGUUUGCAUGCUUUUCCCUGUCUUUUGCCACUCACCCUUUGUUUUAAAUAUCACUGACCGCCUGCCGACCAUGCCACUCCUCCAUGCACUAUUAUUGAGACAUGGAGUGAUUUAAAGAAACACAUAUAAACAUCUCCCUCUGACACACCGUUCGUUCCACCCGAAUCCCUUUAAGGAGACGUAUAUUCCUAUGGUUUAGAUCAUGUAAGUUACUUUUCCAUGCAUUGUCUUUUCUAAUAUUUAUUUAUUUGGAUUUAUUUGGCUGCGCAGGGCUGUGGUUGUGGCACUUGGAAUCUUUAGUUGCGGUGUGUGACCUCUUAGUCUCGGCACGCGGGAUCUGGCUCCCCGAGCAGGAACCGAACCCGGGGCCCCCUGCGUUGGGAGCGCAGAGUCUUAGGCACUGGGCCACCAGGCAAGUCCCUGGAUCAU